GAUGUAGCUCAGGUGGUAGAGUGCUUGCCCGCCAUGCAUGAAGUCCUGAGUUUGAAUCCCAGCAUC
This 66-nucleotide transfer RNA is filed under the name Mesocricetus auratus (golden hamster). It matches the Rfam family "tRNA". Rfam says of the family: Transfer RNA (tRNA) molecules are approximately 80 nucleotides in length. The record is from Rfam by way of RNAcentral. Lineage: Eukaryota; Metazoa; Chordata; Mammalia; Rodentia; Cricetidae.